GGUUGUAGACUUUACAAUUCUCUUUGGAAAAUUCUACUUUGAGUUCAUCAUCACACAGUUGACUUAUACUGAUAAGGUUUGCUUUGAGUCCUUGUACCAAAAAGACUCUUGGUAAUCUGGGCAGUCCAUGGACAUUCAAGUAAUAACAUCUGAUUCUCCUUCGGUGUUGAAAGUGAUGUUGUGACACCUCAGGAUUUUCAGAAGAGUGGCUUUCACUGGACGCUGGAUUUGGAGAUCUAGGCCUUCCAUCUAGUGCCUUGAUUUCUUGUAACAGUUUGGCCUCUCUGUUUUUAGAUUCUAAUAAUUCAUUUUGAGUUUCUUU
Molecule: long non-coding RNA, 322 nt
Organism: Ipomoea nil (Japanese morning glory)
Lineage: Eukaryota; Viridiplantae; Streptophyta; Magnoliopsida; Solanales; Convolvulaceae
Exons: 2
Source: RefSeq, a predicted model, not a curated record